UAGUCCACGCCGUAAACGAUGUGUGCUAGUUGUCGGGCUCUAAGAGUUCGGUGACGCCGCUAACGCAUUAAGCACACCGCCUGGGGAGUACGGCCGCAAGGUUAAAACUCAAAGGAAUUGACGGGGACCCGCACAAGCGGUGGAGCAUGUUCUUUAAUUCGAAGCAACGCGAAGAACCUUACCUACACUUGACAUACUCGUCGGGAAUUUCAGAGAUGAUUUUCUUCGGUUCGGCCGGACGAGAUACAGGUGCUGCACGGCUGUCGUCAGCUCGUGUCGUGAGAUGUUUGGUUAAGUCCAGCAACGAGCGCAGCCCCUAUCGUAUGUUGCCAGCAUUCAGUUGGGCACUCAUGCGAGACUGCCGGUGUUAAGCCGGAGGAAGGUGGGGACGACGUCAAGUCCUCAUGGCCCUUAUGACCAGGGCUACAAACGUCCUACAAUGGCAUCUACAAAGCGUUGCAAGCGCGCAAGUGCAAGCUAAUCGCAAAAAGAUGU
This 495-nucleotide ribosomal RNA is filed under the name uncultured bacterium. Its description in RNAcentral is "bacterial SSU rRNA". It matches the Rfam family "Bacterial small subunit ribosomal RNA", at positions 791 to 1286 of the family's 1533-position model. The record is from RNAcentral.